GGGCACUUAGCGCAGUUGGUAGCGUGCACGUUUCGCAUAGUGCCACGGUGGUGUCCGAUUGCGUGAGGUCGUGGGUUCAAUUCCCAUAGUGUCCA
This is a transfer RNA of Termitomyces sp. J132, 95 nucleotides long. It matches the Rfam family "tRNA". Rfam says of the family: Transfer RNA (tRNA) molecules are approximately 80 nucleotides in length. Their secondary structure includes four short double-helical elements and three loops (D, anti-codon, and T loops). Lineage: Eukaryota; Fungi; Basidiomycota; Agaricomycetes; Agaricales; Lyophyllaceae. The record is from Rfam.